This 430-nucleotide ribosomal RNA is filed under the name uncultured Alphaproteobacteria bacterium. Its description in RNAcentral is "bacterial SSU rRNA". It matches the Rfam family "Bacterial small subunit ribosomal RNA", at positions 958 to 1385 of the family's 1533-position model. The record is from RNAcentral. Lineage: Bacteria; Pseudomonadati; Pseudomonadota; Alphaproteobacteria.
AACGCGAAGAACCUUACCAGCCCUUGACAUCCCGGUCGCGGGAACGAGAGAUCGAUCCCUUCAGUUCGGCUGGACCGGAGACAGGUGCUGCAUGGCUGUCGUCAGCUCGUGUCGUGAGAUGUUGGGUUAAGUCCCGCAACGAGCGCAACCCUCGCCCUUAGUUGCCAUCAUUCAGUUGGGCUCUCUAAGGGGACUGCCGGUGAUAAGCCGCGAGGAAGGUGGGGAUGACGUCAAGUCCUCAUGGCCCUUACGGGCUGGGCUACACACGUGCUACAAUGGCGGUGACAGUGGGAUGCAAUGGGGCAACCCUGCGCAAAUCUCAAAAAGCCGUCUCAGUUCGGAUUGUGCUCUGCAACUCGAGCACAUGAAGUUGGAAUCGCUAGUAAUCGCAGAUCAGCACGCUGCGGUGAAUACGUUCCCGGGCCUUGUA